UGAGUUUGAUCCUGGCUCAGGAUGAACGCUGGCGGUAUGCUUAACACAUGCAAGUCGAACGAUUUUCACCGCUUCGGUGGUGAGAUUAGUGGCGUACGGGUGAGUAAUGCACAGGAAUUUGCCCUUUGGUGGGGGAUAGCUUGGGGAAACCCGAAUUAAUCCCGCAUGAUGCCGUGAGGUAAAAGCCGUAAGGCGCCAAAGGAUAAGCCUGUGUCCGAUUAGCUUGUUGGUGGGGUAAAGGCCCACCAAGGCGACGAUCGGUAGCUGGUUUGAGAGGAUGAUCAGCCACAGUGGAACUGAGACACGGUCCACACUCCUACGGGAGGCAGCAGUGGGGAAUAUUCCGCAAUGGACGAAAGUCUGACGGAGCAAUACCGCGUGUAGGACGAAGGCCUUAGGGUUGUAAACUACUGUCGUCGAGGAAGAUUAUGACGGUACUCGAAAAGGAAGCACCGGCUAACUCUGUGCCAGCAGC
RNAcentral lists this ribosomal RNA (475 nucleotides) under uncultured prasinophyte. Its description in RNAcentral is "bacterial SSU rRNA". It matches the Rfam family "Bacterial small subunit ribosomal RNA", at positions 1 to 515 of the family's 1533-position model. The record is from RNAcentral. Lineage: Eukaryota; Viridiplantae; Chlorophyta.